This 548-nucleotide ribosomal RNA is filed under the name uncultured bacterium. RNAcentral's name for it is "bacterial SSU rRNA". It matches the Rfam family "Bacterial small subunit ribosomal RNA", at positions 846 to 1398 of the family's 1533-position model. The record is from RNAcentral.
CCGCAGUUAACACAAUAAGUAUCCCACCUGGGGAGUACGAUCGCAAGGUUGAAACUCAAAGGAAUUGACGGGGGCCCGCACAAGCGGUGGAGUAUGUGGUUUAAUUCGAAGCAACGCGAAGAACCUUACCAGGGCUUGACAUCCCGGCGACCGGUGUAGAGAUACACUUUCUUCUUCGGAAGCGCCGGUGACAGGUGGUGCAUGGUUGUCGUCAGCUCGUGUCGUGAGAUGUUGGGUUAAGUCCCGCAACGAGCGCAACCCUUAUUGUUAGUUGCUACGCAAGAGCACUCUAGCGAGACUGCCGUUGACAAAACGGAGGAAGGUGGGGACGACGUCAAAUCAUCAUGCCCCUUAUGUCCUGGGCCACACACGUACUACAAUGGUGGUCAACAGAGGGAGGCAAUACCGCGAGGUGGAGCAAAUCCCUAAAAGCCAUCCCAGUUCGGAUCGCAGGCUGCAACCCGCCUGCGUGAAGUUGGAAUCGCUAGUAAUCGCGGAUCAGCAUGCCGCGGUGAAUACGUUCCCGGGCCUUGCACACACCGCCCGUC